GUAUUAAAAUUUGAAUUCAUAAGUUUUGCAUCAAAGUUACCACCUAAUACAAAUUGGUAUGUUAAUACUUGGGUUACCAGCUAAUAUCAUAGGGGUGUCAAAAUGGGUAACCCAACUCAACUCAACUCACAAUCAAAUGAGUUUAGGAUUAAAUGAGUUAUUGGUUGACCCAACUCAUUUUGUUAAAUGGGUUGGGUCAACUCAUAACUCAUUUAAUUUGAUGGGUUGAGUUGUUAAAUGGGUUAACCCAUUUAAGUAAUAAUUUAAUUAAUUAUUAUUAUAAAACAAUAAUAAAUAAUUA
RNAcentral lists this small RNA (301 nucleotides) under Arabidopsis thaliana (thale cress). Its description in RNAcentral is "ATSL081570". The record is from RNAcentral. Lineage: Eukaryota; Viridiplantae; Streptophyta; Magnoliopsida; Brassicales; Brassicaceae.